AUUUUUUUUAAAACCUGACACGUGUGUAAUGGACACUGACGUGGCACGCCACUGUGUAAUUAUUUUAUUUUUUUUAAAUCUGACAUGUGUGUAAUGGUUUAAUAAAUUAUUUUUAAAAAGAUAAAAAAAACUGAAAAUUAAUUUUCAAAAAUUUAAAAUCAAGAAAAAAAAUCAAUUUUUUUAAAAAACGAAAAAAAAGUUGUGUUUUUUUUCAAAAAAUAAAAAUAUUAAGAAAAAAAUAUUAAUUUUUUUACCAAAACAUUUAAAAAUUAGCUUAUAUUAUUAUUUUCGAAUAUUUUUAAAAUUUUAAUUUAAUUUGGAUUUUUUUUAAAUUUUUCGAAAGUUUCAAAAUAUAGUAAGUGUAUGAAUUUUUUUAUAUAUAAUAUUUUUGGAAAUAUAUAUAUAUAAAGAAAACAACCCCUUUCAGCUUUUGGGUUGGCUGUUUCUUUUCAAAAAUGCCCACAAUUUUCAAUACAAAUAACACAUGUAACAAAUAGUUAAGAAUAAAUUUAAAUAUUAAAUAAAUUUCCAGAUUUUUUUUAUCCUCAAUUUUUAAAUAUUAAAAAAUAUUCUCAAAUAUGUAACAUAUCGUAAUAAAAAUCUAAAUUUUCCUAAAUUUUUAAAUAAAUUUGUAUCCGGAUUUUUUUUUUUUGUUGAGAAAAUUUAAAAAACUUCUUUUUCGAAAAAAAAUCUGUUUUAAACUUCAAAAAAUAUAUAUUCCAAAUUUUCGAAAAUAAUUUGAAUUUUUUUUUUUGAAAUAUAUAUUUCAACAUUUUCAAAAAUAAUUUUAAAAAAUUUUGAAAUAUAUAUUUUUUCGUAAAUUAUAAAUUUUGGAAAAAUCCUGAUUUUUUUAAAUUUUUAUAUAUAUAUUUUUUAAAUAAAUUUUAAAAAAUUAAUUAUACAGUCAGCAUGCCACAUAAUCGUAUAUGCACAGUCAGCAUGCCACUCAGCUCGCCACGUCAGCAAUUAUGCACAGACACAUGUGUCAGGGGCUAAAAUCAAAGAAUCUUAUGUUACGGGGUUGGAAUCUAAACUUUUUUUUUUACAGGGGGAAAACCGGAACUCGCCCAAAUUAGAGGGGGGUAAAUACAUAUUAACCCUUUAUUAUAAGCCAUCUUAAAGAUAAAAAAUGAGUAAAUAGUCAAUUACCCCUGAAAUUGUAAGUUUCGUCAAUUAACCUCCUAAAAGUAACAAAAUGUCAAUUACCCCCCCUGAAAUUGCACAACGUUAAUCAAUUUACCCCCUCCGUCAAAUUUUUCUGUUAGUAAACAUGACGUUUUGCAAAUAUCCCCCCCUGAAGUUUUACACUUAUGUGCAAAAUGUCCCCCGAACUUGAAGAUUUAUAUAUUUUUUUCUUAUCCUUAACUCAAAGAUAUUAACGACAAGCAAUUAACAGUUAACUUUAAUACUUUACAUGGCUCUUUCAUUCUUAAAGGGGUCUGUUAUUUUAUUUUGUUUAUGUUAUGCCAUUUGGUUGUUCAAUUCUCCAUAAAUUAUGACUUAUUUAGAUAGAGACACGCCAAUUCACAACAAAGUAAGCUAGAGACACUCAUUCCUCAUGAAUAAUUAAUUCUAACAGUUUCUUAAGANUUUAUUUCCUGAGUUGUUUGAUUCAAUUGGGGGAAGCUUGAACCCUUGAUUUCCUAUGUUGUUUGAUUCAAUUCUAUUAUUUCGUUUGUCAAAAGCAAAAUGGCUUAAUUUCAUGAUGCCCAUGGAUAAAUUUUUUACUGUUUCUAAUUUAGGCUUAAUUUUUCCCUUUUUAAUUUGCUAAUGUGAGGGUUAAUACGAGGAAUCUGAAUCUUGUGACUCGGUGACUAACAUCUCUAAUUCCAUCUCUAAUUCUUAGCUUGAUUCUAAUUAUUAUGCAUUGUUUAUUUAUUUCUCUUUGUUUUGUGUUCUUAGACAAUGUGCCUUUUUCAAUUACUUGCUUGAGUCAUUGUUCUUAUUCACCCUUUCUUGUUUUAUUUUGUUAUUUAUUAUUUAUGUGUGAAUUGUGCAUUUUGUAGGAGUAAUAAUGCAAUGAUUCAACCAGAUGAGCAGCCUUGAAAGGAACCUCUUCGUCAAUGUUUUCAGCCUGCCCAAACCUCUGGCGAUGAUUCAAAGGAGUGAAAGACAACAGGGGUAUGCUUGUGUGGUUACUUGCAAGAUAAUAAAAAGCAUCUGACUUGUAAUCUUUUUAGUCAGCUGUACAGCGAUAAUUCUAGAAAUAGGUGGUUAGUUUUUGUUGAUUUCAAUUUGGUUUUGUGUCAAGCUGGAAAAAAAAUGGAGGUAAUCCUAUUGAUAGUAGUAUUACUAACCAGUUCAAAGACACUAUCCAGCAGCGUGGCUUUAAUGAUUUGAGCUACAUUGGGGAUAUUUUCAUCACAUAAAAGCUAGAUUGGACAGAUUCUUAGUUAGCAAUGUAUAUGUUCCAUAAUUUUUCUAAUAUACAAAGGUAUGCCUCUGAUCAUAUACCUUUACUUUUUUAAAAAAAUUUGUAACUCUCAUUUGGAUAUAUUGUUAAAAAAAAAAACACUCUCAUUUGGAUAUAAUAGUUGCGGCUCCCUCCAAUAUUUCGGGCAAGAUCCGCCACUGCUCACAAUAUGCAAACAAUUGAUGGAUAUGCAAAAGCUGAACAAGUUUAUUUAUUCUUACCAUCAAAAGGCUUGCUCGGCAUACCGGUAAUUCGUUGUAACAUCCUUUCAUGUCUCUCAUCAUCUUCCUCCCCAUAAUCAUCAUCUGAAUCAAUUUCCUUCCUCUUUUUACCAAUAAAAUCGUAGCCGCCGUCGUCAUCAUCAGAUUGUACAUUCUCAUCCUAAACAAACAAAUGAAUGAUUCAGACAAAUGAAACAGGAAAUGAACAAUGAAAUUAAGGCAACAAUUAUAAGAAACCUCGAAAUCAGAAGAAAGGUCAUUAUCAUCAUUAACAGAAACAGGGUCGUAACGCUUAUUCUUUCUGGAUUCUUCUUCAGGUUGUUCUUCUUCGUAUUCGUAAACAUCGCUGUCGAUAUCAUCGACAUCAACAGGGGUAGGGUUUAAGUGUUGAAUCUCUUUUUUCAAAGAUGAAGGCAAACGAGGACCAGUUUUCUUCCGUUGAUUGUCGGAAGUCUUCUUCGACUUCUUUUUUGCGGUGUGGCGGUUAGCGUCGCCUCUCUCCUUUCGCUUCUCCUCUGCCAUGUUUGUUGCUGAAGCGUUGACGCAGAGAAUGUGUUGGGUACCAACGCCGCUAGGUUUAGAGAUUGCCAAAAACCUGAUUCAAAAGUAGAGAAAUGGUCACAUGAUAACCUAAUUAAUUUUUUUUGUUUUGCUUAAAUAUAAAAUUCGUCUCUGAAAAUUUAAUUUUCAAUUUUUAAUUAAAAAUUACUUUUUUUCAAAAUUCUGAAAAUUCAUUUUUUUUAAAAUAUAAAAAAUCUGAAAAUAAAUUUAAAAAUCAUAAAAAAACUGAAAAUUAAAUUUUCGAAAAUUCAUUUUUUUUAAUUCUGAAAAUUAAAUUAUAUUUUCAUUUUCAAAAAAUUUUAAUUUUAUUUUUCUUAAAUUUAUUUCUAGAUUUUAAAAACACUAAUUUCCAAAAAAAUUCUUCAUAUUUCAAAAAAAAAAAUUGGAAUUUUUUAUGAUUUUUUUAUUUAUUUUCAGUUUUUUUAAUUUUAAAAAAUAAUUUUCAUAUUUUUAAAAAAUAAUGACGUGGACUGCCACGUCAGAGCCACGUGGCAAAAGUUGCACAAUCAGCAACUGCCACGUGGCCAAAGUAAUCCCAUGUCAGCAAAAAAGUGGGGUCAGAGACCUUUUUAAAACAAAAAAAAAAUUUGCGGGGAUGUUUUUAAUUUAUUGUUUUUACAAGGACGAAAAUCAAAACGCGUCCAAAUUACAGGGACGGAUUGCAUAUUUAAGCCUUUUGCUUUUAAUCCUUGCAACAAAAAUACACCUUUUAAUGCAAUUAAAAUUUUGGCUAAAUUAGUCAAAUGGUCCCUCAACUAAUUUCGAGUUUUCAUUUUGGUCUCAUAACUCUUAAAAUUAUCAUUUUGGUCCCUCGACUUUUGCUCCGUUAUUCAAAAAGGUCCAUGACUAUUAACUUUAACCCUAAAUGUCUAUAGUGGACUAACAUUAAGAGUGGUCCACCAUAGAUCCUAUUAAUUAUUUUAAUUAAAACCGUUUGAUCUUUUUUCUUAAAAGAGGACCAUUAGAUUACACAUGUCUAUUUUAUCUUAGGAUGUAUUGUAACACCCCGUUUUUUCAACUUGAAUUUUUUUGCAUAAAUCAGAGUAAAACAACUAAACAGGAUGUUACACUUUUUUCAAAUAUGAAUAUAGUAAAAUUACUAUUUAUUUCAAUCAUCAUAUGUCAUCAAAUUAAAUCUCAUUGCAGCGGAAAACAACUAAGUUUAACAUCAUGUUGGCACAACGGUCUCAACUUAAACAAUUUAAUUAAAAUCCAGUUUAAACAAAACUUCAACAUAAAAUCAUGAUAAAUACGUAACACAUGGAAAACAAGCAAAUCUCCAUCCCGUUACGUAUCAGAGCGACCCUAAGACGACUACACGUGAGAGAAUCAUCUCACUUCAACAACUAUUCUUGAUUUCCUGCAAGUUACUCAAUUGUAAGGGCAACAUUUCCAAGCAGAAGGGGUGAGAUUUCACAUUCAAUAAUAAUAAGCAUAAAUUCAUCAAAUGCAUUUAACAACUUAAGCUUCAUCAAUUAAUAACAUUAAUUCUUCAUAUAAUACUUCACUAAAUCAUCGAUCAACUUCUAGUCAUCAUUAAUAUCAUAUUCAUCACCUCAUAUACAUUCAUCAUAUAACAACAUAAUCAUCAUAUCAUAACAUCAUCAUGUAACAGCAUAAUCAUCACAUCAUAAACAUCAUCAUAAUAUAACAUAAACAUCACAUCAUAAACAUCAUCUUAUAACAUCAUAUACUUCACAUCAUAAACAUCUUCAUAUAACAACAUAAACAACAACGAUUAAUAAAUAUUAAUACUUCACAUAGUUCUUCAUUAACAACUCAUUGAUAAAUUACAACUUAACGACAACGACAAUGCGACUACAACAACUUAAACUCGAUAAAUGCAACUUCAACUUCUUAAUCAUGCAUGUGGUACCAAUCAGGGCAUCAAGCCCCCAACGUAUUGAGCAUAAAUACACUCCAAGGACAUCAAGCCCUCAACUUAAAGAGCAAAAGCUCACAGGGCAUCAAGCCCUCAACUUAAAGAGCAAAAGCUCACAAGGGCAUCAAGCCCUCAACGUAAAUGAGUAUGCAUGGACUCAACAACUAAUGCAACGACAACCAACAACUUCAACGACAUCGACAACAACUUACAACUUUAACGACAUUGACAACAACCUACAACUUUAACAACUUGACCAACAUAUGCAACUUAAUUAUUUAAUAAUCAAUACAGCAAAGACAACAACAUACAACAACUUCACAACAUAACAUCAUUAAUAAUAACAACUUGAAUGGUAUAACAACAUUAUUUUCUAUAUCAUACCUUUUCCACAUAAAUAUACGUAACUCAAAUUAUUCAACAACAACAUUCACAUAAUAUAUGUAUUUCAAAUUAUCCAACAAAGAUAUUCACGUCAAACCAAAUUAGAUCCAUCACAACAUAGGUUAAAUACUCUUAAACACCCUAUUUGAACUCAUAGUACUUCUAGUUUUGAGGUCUGGAAUUAUUCCUUAAGUUUUGGAUUAACUUAGAAACGGUUAUGUUGAAUUUUCAUAAGAUUUCACUAAGACCUCCUUGGAGUAUUUUCAUCAUAUCUCAAGAAUCAAAAAUCAUUUUCAUGUCAAACCAAAGUCACUGGAAAGCUAACUCAAUUAUCUACAACUUUCAUGUUUACACCAAAGGCCAAUUCAAAACAGAAACGUGUGAAAAAGAUGCAAGAACAUGAAACAGGACGUGCUGUCAGAGAGCAACUCGGGAAAAACUCACUUAAAUCCCAAUUUUAACUUCCCUAUGCCCAAAUUUGAUCCAAAAACUUGACUAACAAUUUCUAUACAUGUUAAGGCACUCAAAACCAUAUAAAACAUUGCACUAAGAAUAACUCAUGAUCUGAACAUCAAUUCUAAACUCAAUUUCAGAAUUAUACAACUUAGAAUUAGAGAAAGUUACUCUCACCCUUACCUUAGAUUAGAUGAUCGGUCUCUACGAGAUUGCUCCUCUUCUCUUUCUCUGACUUCUCACUUUCUCUCUUUUUCUCCAAAAACAGGUUUCACGUAAUCCUUAUUUUCUAAUUCUAACUCUCCCCUUUUAUAUAAAUCCUUAACCUACUUAUUUUAUCUUAUUUUCAAAUCUGCCCUCCAAGUCUCAAUAUUCUAUUCUAAUAUAUAUAUAUAUAUAUAUAUAUAUAUAUUCUAUAACAUAUAUAUUUCUACAUCAAAUAAGAAAUAUAUUUCUGCACCAUAUAACAUAUAUAUUUCUACACCAAAUAACAUAUAUAUUUCUACACCAAAUAACAUAAUAUUUCCAUUUAUUCCACUAAACUCUUCUAAUUUCCAAAACAGUCCCUACAACUUAAUCUUAUUUUAUUUUUAAAUCUUAUUCUAUUAAAUAAUAAAAUAAGUCACUUAAUAAAUCAACAACACAUCACAAUAAUCAUAUAAAUCACAUGAGUCAUAUAAAUAGACCCUAAACUCAAUAUAAUAUUCAAAUAAUAAAAUAGGGUGUUACAUGUAUCACCAACACCAAUUUUUUUUUCCUUUUCUUCAUCUCUUUCCUCCACCUUUUCUUUAUCUUUAUCAUCAUAUAUUCAUUAUUCAUUACAACAACCCAGAAAGAAAGAAAAAAAAACCUAAUUAAAUUCAUAUAUGAUAUUCAUCUCAAUUUUCUAUGUCAACAUGAUUCUGAUUUAGAACAUGAAUGAAUUUUAGAGAUAGAGAAAAUAAUUUAGAACAUCAUAACCCAUUGAAUUGAUUUUCAUUCUCGUCAAUGUCGAUACCCAUUUAACUUUCUUUUCAUUAUACCACAAGGCUAAAACACUCCUUAAAACAUUCAAUACAUCAAUAUUCUUCUUCUUCAAUCUGAGCUUCUUCUUCUUCUUUCUAGGGUCUCCAUCAAUAUUCUUUCUUCAAACAUUCAAUACAAUAGUAACCAGAAACAACAGAGUAUCAAAUCCAAUUUAUGAACAAACCAAGACAAGAACAGAGGUGCAGGGCCGCGCUAAAGGGAUGGGCGAAGACUAUAGGGAUGGUGGUGGUUGCAUGACGGCGGGGUGACGCGACGGAGAACGACCCUUUCGUAGAAGGGAGAUCAGUUUUGAAGAGAAAAUUGAUCGACAUAUUCGCACAGGUGACCUUUCUUCUCCUUCCGGCGUUGGUUUUGCUCCGUUCUCCUCCGUAACUGCUCAGAUUCGCACCUCUCUCCUCCGACUGUUCUCCAAUUUCGGUCGAUUCUCCGGAUCUCGAAGCUUACCUUUCUGGCUUUUCCCUGCGCAGGUUUUAUCAGCUUCUUCUCUCUAUCUGUCCAGCGUGGUUUCUCUUCAUGCUUUGAAGGUUUUAUGGCGUUGCUUUGUAGUCUUGCUCUGUUCGUGAGGUUCGUUCCGGUUCGGUCUUGUUGUCGUAAAAAUGAAGGAGGAUGAGAAAACAAAAGGUUUUUUUUAUGCUUUGUUUGGAGUUUUUUUAAGGUUGUUGUUGUUGGGGUUCUGUGUUGUUUGGAAAAUGAAGGAGAUCUAAAACAACGGUUCUAAUAAAAUAGAAGUGGAUCUCAUGUGGUAAAAUGGGUUGUGAAGAACAAGAUUCAAGAAGACGAUUUUUUGGUUUAUUACAAUCAUGUUUUUUUAUUGUGUUUCUUUGGACUUAUUUUGGAAGAAAAAAAUUCUGGAAAAAUGUUGAUAUAGAAUGAGGAGGAGGAAGAGAGAAGAUGAUGAAAAAUAAAAAAUGACGGUUAAAAUCAAAUCAAAAAAUUUAGACAUUAAAAAACUAACGGAGUGGAUUAAUUUGACUAAUGGAGCAAAAGUUAAGGGACCAAAAUGAUGAUUUUAAAAGUUAUGGGACCAAAACAAAAAUUCGAAAUUAGUUGAGGGACCAUUUGAUUAAUUUAGCCUAAAAUUUUACAUCAACAUGUUACCAAAACAAAAAAAAAAUAAAAAUUACAUCAACAUUUUUAUUCAGGGUUAUGCUAACCGCAUCGGUGCCCUUAUGACACUAGUUAAGGAAAUAAAAAACAAUAAAUUUGAAUUGAAUUCAACAAUUUUUUAACUUUUUAUAAGUCUUUCGUUAUAUUUUUGUAGGAAGUAGCAAAUGUGGUUAGAGUUCACAAAUUUAAAUGUGGAGUAGUGAGAUGUUCAAAGUUCGAACAUUGAUCCCUGCAUAUAAUAUGUAAUAUCUCUACCAACUGAGUUAAGCUCACAACGAUAAAUUCUUGUUAUUUAUAUGAACCAUUAACUUAUUAACUCGUAAUUGCAAUAUAUAAUAUACAUAGUUGAUAGACAUUGGCUUGCUUUUUAGUAAAUAAUAAAAAAAUAGAUGUAUUGUUAACCAGUGUUCUAAGGGCAUUGAUGAUUAAUGAAUCCAUUAAUAAAAGUUUUGUCUUAAAAAUAUAAGUUUUUAUUUUUGUCUUAAUAGUAAUUACGCUAUUUUUUUUUUUAUAAAAACUUACUAAUUUUAAUAUUUUAAUUAAUGCCCCCAAAGACACCCAUUAGCAUUCUCCAAAAAAUAAAGUUUAGUGAUAUAAAUCAACUCCUCCGUAUUUUAUUAUAGGGUUAAUAUGUCUUUACCCCCCUGUAAUUUGGGCGAGUUCCGGUUUACCCCCCUGUAAAAAAAAAAGUUUAGAUUUCAACCCUAUAAUAUAAAAAUUCUCCACAAAACACCCUGUAAUAUGAAGAUCCUCCACAAAACACCCCUGACCCUAUUCAGACGCUGAUGUGGCACGCCACUGUGUAAUUAUUUUAAUUUUAAUUUUUUUUAAAACCUGACACGUGUGUAAUGGACACUGACGUGGCACGCCACUGUGUAAUUAUUUUAUUUUUUUUAAAUCUGACAUGUGUGUAAUGGUUUAAUAAAUUAUUUUUAAAAAGAUAAAAAAAACUGAAAAUUAAUUUUCAAAAAUUUAAAAUCAAGAAAAAAAAUCAAUUUUUUUAAAAAACGAAAAAAAAGUUGUGUUUUUUUUCAAAAAAUAAAAAUAUUAAGAAAAAAAUAUUAAUUUUUUUACCAAAACAUUUAAAAAUUAGCUUAUAUUAUUAUUUUCGAAUAUUUUUAAAAUUUUAAUUUAAUUUGGAUUUUUUUUAAAUUUUUCGAAAGUUUCAAAAUAUAGUAAGUGUAUGAAUUUUUUUAUAUAUAAUAUUUUUGGAAAUAUAUAUAUAUAAAGAAAACAACCCCUUUCAGCUUUUGGGUUGGCUGUUUCUUUUCAAAAAUGCCCACAAUUUUCAAUACAAAUAACACAUGUAACAAAUAGUUAAGAAUAAAUUUAAAUAUUAAAUAAAUUUCCAGAUUUUUUUUAUCCUCAAUUUUUAAAUAUUAAAAAAUAUUCUCAAAUAUGUAACAUAUCGUAAUAAAAAUCUAAAUUUUCCUAAAUUUUUAAAUAAAUUUGUAUCCGGAUUUUUUUUUUUUGUUGAGAAAAUUUAAAAAACUUCUUUUUCGAAAAAAAAUCUGUUUUAAACUUCAAAAAAUAUAUAUUCCAAAUUUUCGAAAAUAAUUUGAAUUUUUUUUUUUGAAAUAUAUAUUUCAACAUUUUCUAAAAUAAUUUUAAAAAAUUUUGAAAUAUAUAUUUUUUCGUAAAUUAUAAAUUUUGGAAAAAUCCUGAUUUUUUUAAAUUUUUAUAUAUAUAUUUUUUAAAUAAAUUUUAAAAAAUUAAUUAUACAGUCAGCAUGCCACAUAAUCGUAUAUGCACAGUCAGCAUGCCACUCAGCUCGCCACGUCAGCAAUUAUGCACAGACACAUGUGUCAGGGGCUAAAAUCAAAGAAUCUUAUGUUACGGGGUUGGAAUCUAAACUUUUUUUUUUACAGGGGGAAAACCGGAACUCGCCCAAAUUAGAGGGGGGUAAAUACAUAUUAACCCUUUAUUAUAAGCCAUCUUAAAGAUAAAAAAUGAGUAAAUAGUCAAUUACCCCUGAAAUUGUAAGUUUCGUCAAUUAACCUCCUAAAAGUAACAAAAUGUCAAUUACCCCCCCUGAAAUUGCACAACGUUAAUCAAUUUACCCCCUCCGUCAAAUUUUUCUGUUAGUAAACAUGACGUUUUGCAAAUAUCCCCCCCUGAAGUUUUACACUUAUGUGCAAAAUGUCCCCCGAACUUGAAGAUUUAUAUAUUUUUUUCUUAUCCUUAACUCAAAGAUAUUAACGACAAGCAAUUAACAGUUAACUUUAAUACUUUACAUGGCUCUUUCAUUCUUAAAGGGGUCUGUUAUUUUAUUUUGUUUAUGUUAUGCCAUUUGGUUGUUCAAUUCUCCAUAAAUUAUGACUUAUUUAGAUAGAGACACGCCAAUUCACAACAAAGUAAGCUAGAGACACUCAUUCCUCAUGAAUAAUUAAUUCUAACAGUUUCUUAAGAUAAGUUUGAAUAAAAUUAUUCUAUCUUAAAAAUUGAACUAAACAUGCAUUUUGCUAAAGUAAUAUGAAGUUAUUAAUUAUGCGUUAUUUUUAGAGGAUAUAUUCUUAUUUUAAGCUUAAAUAUUAAAGUUAACUGUUAAUUGUUUGUCUUUAAUAUCUUUUGAAUCAAGAUAAGAAAAAAAAAUAUAAAUUUUUAAGUUUGGGGGGCAUUUUGCACAUAAGUGCAAAACUUCAGGGGGGUAUUUGCAAAACUUCAUGUUCACUGACAGAAGAAUUUGACGGAGGGGGUAAAUUGAUUAACGUUGUGCAAUUUCAGGGGGGUAAUUGACGUUUUGUUAAUUUCAAGGGGGUAAUUGACGAAACUUACAAUUUUAGAGGGAAAAUUGACUAUUUACUCGAAAAAAAAUGUUUUAGUUUUAUCAUUGAUGUUUUUUUUCUUCCUAUUGUACCUUUAACUAUUUAUUGCUUUUUCUCCAUUCCAUUCUUUUAAUCUCCUUUUCUCAUAACAUUAAUAAUGGAUAAUUCUUUAAAAAUCACUCAUAAUUUCUCUUUUCAAUACAAAAUGAAUUACAUUUAAUGUCAAAACAACUUAUAAUAAAAUAUGAAGAAAGUAAACUAGUUUUUUGAACUUGGGAAAGAGACUCGUCGUUAGAGCACUGCUUAGAACAUCCCUAACGGUGUUCCUCACUUUUGAACUCUUAAUCGAUUUUAUUAAUAACUCUGUAUUAUUAUAUUUCAACUACAAUUUAGUUAUUUUUUAUUAAGCUCAAACAAGUGGAAGACAUGUUUUAAUGUGAAAUAAUGGUUGUCCAUAGUGAGACUGUGUUUAUCUUUUAUAUCUAAUCAUAACUAACCUUCAAUCCUAACUGUCAACCCCUAAUUUAUUCAACCCUAUGAGCUUCGCGGCAAACCUUGCUUCUACACUGUACACAAAAAAUUCACAAUUACAUUCCCCAAAUCCUUGAUGUAUUCAAUUCACUAAAUAUCAAUAUUUAGUAAUACUCUUAAAAAUUCCAAAGGCAACUCCUGAUCUUUUAAAUUCCCUAAUCAUUUAUCAAUAUCAAUAUUCAUACCUAUCUAUCUUUCCCGAUCAAUUUUUUUUUUUGCAUAUCUCUCGGGAAGCCUUGAAGGUUACACAAGGCCCAAAGAAAUGGAUGCAGAAGCUUAAAAAGUACUUCUCUUUACCUCAAUAGAUGAUCUAUUUGACAAUAUACACUAUUGACUUAACAUAUUUUGAUAAUAUUUUUCUACUAAUUCACAAAAAUAAAUAAUAUCAUGUAAGAUGUUGUUGGAUUCGUCUCGAUGAAUAUUUUUAAAAUAUUAAAUUUUCAUAAUUUUUUUUAGUAGGGAGGGGAGUAAUCAACUUUCAUUACAAUCUUUUCUUUUUCCCGAGCUCUUUGAUUCGGUACAAUAUUCUCUUCCAACCAACUGUUUUCUCCCUUCCAUUCUUUUUCCUGUUUUUUUUCCUUUUCUCUCUCCUUCUUCUUAAUUUUUUUUCAACAAAAUUUUCUCCUUUAUCACAAUUUAUUUCUCAAUUUCACUCUCUCUUCUUGAAUCCCUUAAAAUCUCAAUCGAUUAAAGGUUAAGCAAGUGAGCUUCAUGAGAAAAAAAUCGGGUUAUUCUACCCUCUUUGUGGAGUCAAAAUCCUCUCCAUUUCCUCCAUUUAGAGAGAUAAAAACCCAUAAAAAGUAAAAAAAUAAUUAAUGAUAGUUGGACGAGUUGAUUUUGCUCCAUUUAUCCCAUUCUAAAGCAUAGAUUUGUGACAUGUGGCAAAAACAAAUUCAAAGGUAGAGAUUAUUCUGUACAAAAUAAUGAUUUAUUUAAUACAUAAAUAAAAAACCACGCUUUGCUUUCUCUCUCUGACAUACGAUUCCAUCUUCCUCCCAUCAUCAUGGCUGCUUACGCCCUUCUGCUCACCGGAAUCGUCACCGGCGCCCCCUUUCCUCUCGUCCCAGCACGAAUAUUCCCUUCUCCCUCUCCAUCGUAAUCCAGUUCUGGUUGUGCCUCUCUAUCUCUUGCAGACAUGUUGCAUAUCUUGGUUUUUGUUAUUAUGUAUAUAUAUAAUUGAGAGAUCUACGGUGUGAGGGGAAUUAAAUUAAACUAGGUUGAUUCAGCAAUACAUGCCUUAAAGCAAAGGCAAACCGAAUCGUAUCGGAAUCUAUUUAAUUUCUUAUUCGUUUUUCUUGAUAACAACACUUAUCUCCAUGGUGGUUGGGAUCAUCGAUGGCAUGAAAGGUGAGCGGCGGCAUCGACGGCGAGAGGAACAUGAGGGGUCACGAUGGAGUUCAUGUGAGGAAGAAGAAUACCAUGAAUCAGUCUCUAAAGGAUUAUCAGUGUUAAACUUAACAGGAUUGUCAAUUUAAAAAUCAAUUCAAUCCUUUGUUGUGAUUCUAAUUUUAAUUAAUUAAUUUGUUCUUCAAUUUUAGAAAGACUCACUGUUUCAAUUAAUUAAUCUCAUCAAAAUGUUCAUGUACUGUGAUAGAUUUUGCAAUGAAAUUGGGAAAUUGAAAGGGGAAUGAAGGAGGUAGAGGAGAAAGGGAUCAGGUGACAUAGAGUGAAGAAAGCACGUGAUGAUGUCUUUUAAUUGUAGCCUUUAGAUUUUUUUUGCCACAUGUCACAUAUCUGUGAAUUAAAAAGGAGUAAAUGGAGCAAUCAUAAAUGGAGCAAAGAUGCACUCUAGUUGGACACACUUAAUGACAGGAUCCACCACCUUUUUUUUUUGUCUAUCUCUCUCCAAAUUGCAUCUUCCAUUUAUUUUUAUAAAUGGAGAGGAUCUUAACCCCUCUUUGUGAGUAUAUUUAUGACUUUUCAUGGGUAUAAUUUAUAUAUUUAUACAUGAGUUAUCCUAACAAGUGUCCUUGUUAAAGAAACCAAAAGUACUUGGUUUGUAUAGAAUUCAGUAAUAUUUUAACUUUUAAAAAGUCAAAUUCAUAAUUUUUUACAAUUUUCUAAUGCAAUAUUUCUAUUUGUAUCUUCUUAACCAUUGCACUAAGAGCACUCAUUAGCAUCUCCCUUAUAAUAUUUACAUCUCAAAAGCAAUUUUAGUCCAAACAAUAAAAAUUGCUAAAAUCAUAUUUUCAAUGAAAAUUCACUUUUAACUAAAAUCAAUUCUACAUAAUCAAUUCAUUCAAAAUAAAUUUUCGCCACCACAAAACCAAACACAUAAUAAAUAGCAUGUCUAAGUUAAAAGACAUCAUAACUAAAAACUUUAAGAUAAUCGAGAAUUUCUAAAAUUUUAAACUUUAGGUACAUUUGACUUAUCAACUAUCUUUCUUGUAAGGGAAAUGUUAACGAGUGCCUCCGGAUAUUCUUUAAGACCUUUAAAUGGUAACUUUGUAUGAAAAUAUAUAUAAUCAAUGCAUUAAAAAUCGAAAUAUUUUGACUUUUUAUAAAAUAAUUUAUUCUUUUAGAAUCUUUAAAGAGGGCUCCUGAGGCCUUGUUAACAAGACCAUUUUGCUAAAAUGAUAUCUAGAAACUAAGGCUCAUGCCGUGAUCCGGUUCUAGACUUUAUUUUGCAUUGGACGGUUGGAGAACAAAUCCGGCUACUUUUCAGUUUCCCAAUAUCAACCCAAACACUGAGAUAUAAAUAUAGUAACAUAUUCCCUCUGUCCUUAUAUGUAAGCACUUUUUGCCUCUAAUAAAAUGGUGCUUGACGGAGGGAGUAGAAUUUAAUAAAGCAAUUUAAAGAUAUUUUUAGUCAUGUUUGUUGCGUUAAGCAAGCAAACCUUCUCACAAUAGAAUACCAUACAAUACCUACAAUUAAGUCAUAUACAUAAUCUUACAAACGCAAUGUUGUUGUAAACAUAACAUUAUUGUAGAAUAUGUUUGUCUUUGUAUAUACACUUAUCGUAUACCAUACAAGUCACUUAGACAUGGGUCACCUGAGAAAAUUUAGUCAUACAUAACAAAGGUUUCCUUGUAACAGCAAAGACUAUUUGUCGUAACUUGUCAGUAAUAUGUUGGUUCCCACUUUCUAGCGACUUACCACUUCCCUUCACAUAUAGAAUCAAAGUUCAUUUUGAUAAACCCUAGGAUACCAUGUUGGUUACUUCAUCAAGGUUAAGCUCCUAAAUAUGUGGCCAUACUUUCUUAUAUGAUUCAUAAAUCUAUAAAUUCAAUGUAUAGUAAUGCCACUUACAUUUAAAAGCAUAUAAUUAACUCACAAUUAAAGUCUUCGUAUCAUUUCACAAAGGAGUUUUAUUUUUAAAUACCCAAACAAUCAAUCUACAUCUUGAGAGAAAAAGAUAUAAUAUACUAAUAUAUGUGAUAGGUUGAUAACAUGAUAUGAAAUGAGAGAUGGAGAUAAAAUAAGGCGUUGAAUGAGUGUUGAAAAUUUAAGAAUGUUUAAAUAUAAGUGUUCUUUCAAAAACAUCGAGUAAGCAAGACAGAUCAUCAUUCAUGUCAAGAGACAUCACAUUGUGCUAAAAAAAAGGUGUGAAAAUUGAAAUGACAGUUAAAUUGUAACAAAUUAGUUUUUGUUUGUUUGUUAAAACAUCAUAUAAUAUGCGACCAAGUGAGUAUGUAUGAGAUAUAUGUAUAUGAGACCGAGGAGUAAUUAAAAGUGACAGCAACUGAGAGACAAGGAGAGAAACCCAUCUUGGAGAAACAGAGCACAUGCAAAUGAUUCGGUGGCAUAAGCAUUCUAGACACAACAGAGUUGCACGUGUCCUGCUUCUCCAACAAGGAGUUCUCAGCCUAUAUAAACCAUUACACCUCGAGUUUGAUGAAAGUUGAAGUGGAAGUUUAACUUGAACUGGGAAAAAUGUGCUCUAUACAUCGAUGCAAUUUUAUAGAGAUAUGAGGUAGGAAUGAAAUUAUUUAAGAAACAAUGUGUGUAGUUAAAGUUUUGGUCUCAAAAAAAGGAACACUCAGCCAGACCAUACGGCAUACCAUACCUCAUCAUGCAAGUACUACAAUACAUGCACAAAAAAAUCAAAGUUGCAAUGUCUAAGGAACCCAAAACGAAUCAUAUAUGUUUGUGCUUUAAGGCAACAAUUACAAACUCUUUGUUGAUUUGAGGUUCACUUACACUGUAACAAGGAAAUAAUCACAAGCCAUCUUAAUGUCUAUGUUCGUUUGAAUUGAGAAUAUUUGGGUCCCACGUGCUUACGGGCUAGCUCUAAUAAUGUACGGUGUUUGAUCCCUUUUCAAUUGCGUGGAAUUGCUGAUUUGUACGAGUGCACGUUGAUUUUGCGUGUUGAGUGCAAGUUUUUUAGCAUGGCAUAUGCAUAUAUAUGUGCACCUAUUAGAGGGAAAAGUUCGAACCAUUACCUUUUACCUCAAAGUUUUUGGUGGUUGAACAGAUACUAUAGAGUAUGAUAGAUUACAAGAAUUUCAAAGACACUAAUAAUAGCCGACAGAAAAAAAGUAAACAAUGAAAUGAAACAUUGGUUUUGGAUGACAUCUCCAUCUCUAUCUCUAUCUCUAUAUAUAUGUAUUUUAAACUACAUUUUGCUUAUGUGUCACUUCACUAAUAUUUUCUUUUUGUAACUAAUUUUUUAUACUUAUGUCAUGUGGCUCUCUUUUGUUCUUGAUUCUUUACUAGUCAUUUCUUACUAUCUAAUCUUUCAUUUCCCAUCAAUUGGAAAAACUCUCUAUUUACUUCACUUCAUGGAAGUUACACAAUGAAUGUAUUAUAAUCCAUUUUAUUAAUAGUGAGGGGUUUCAUUUUAAAAUUAUUCAUAUUCUUAGUCAAUCAUCUUACACACACAAGUUUACUAUAAAGCUCCUCAUUUUCUAAGCUCAUAUAUAUGUUGCUUAUGUUAUCCUUCUCAUUUCUUCUUCCAUUUCAUUUUUUUUUUUUAUAGUUUUGAUUCUCUCUUCAAACUUCGUGAGUGUGUGUUUCUAUCUAUAAUUUUUCGUAUUCUCUAAUGGAUAUUUUUUCUUUCAUUUAACAUACAUGUUUUGGAAAAAGGGAGAGUUUUGUUGAAAGGACACUUCAUAUAUGAAAUGGUGGUUGUAUUUUUUAUUGAAAUUAAAAUAUUUUUUCAUUAUCAUUUUUUAUUUAACAUUGUUAUGAGAUCAAGAGUUCACUAAACAUGUGGAAGGAAACAUAUUAAAAAAGCAUAAACAAUUAAUAUUUUUGUUAUUCAUUUUUAUUCCAAGCCAACAUGUGGUUGUUACUAUAACUAUUAGAUAUUUUUCCUUCUCAACUAAUUGCCAUAAGAUGGAGGAGGAUUUUGAUGAAGCUUACAAGAAACUCAAAACUCUCAACAUCAAAAAUCCUAAAAGGUCGAACAAGAGAAACUAAGAAUCUUUAUCCAUAGGUGUUGGUUUAAUUUGAUCAAGUAUCCGUGUCUUUGUAAUAAGAGAAAAAUACUCUUAUUAUAUUUUUAAUUGAAUAGUUUCUUAUAAGAUCAAGUAUCCUAGAUAACUAAUUGUAGAAGUACACAUCUAUUCAACAUUUGGUUUUGAAUCGAAUAGCAAUUUCCCGUCCUUUUUAAUUAUAUAUACAUUUACAUAUAUUUAAUUUAAAGCAUCAGAUUUUUUGUUGUAGAAGUUAUAUAAUUAGACAUUAAAUUGGUUUAAAUUAAAAAUAGUGAGAGAAAUCUUUACAGAGUGCCACAUUAGUACAAUAUUUCCAUGAGAACAAUGCAAGCUUAGAUUAUGUGAAGUGAAAAGGUGUUCUAAAUCAUAGAAAGUGGCAUGUAAUGAAAACCAGAGAGUGUCUAAUUGUUCCCUCACUCUUCACUUCUCUUUGACUCAUGUGGUAGUCACAAAUUAGUGGUUUUUGACACAAUCCUUAACUAUUGUUUAUUCUCACCCUUUAUUAUAUUUCUAUUAAUUCAACUAUGAAAUUCUACAGGCCAUUGGUAAGAUAGAGAAUUGAGAGAUAUAGAGAAUAAUGUCCCUAAAAUAUAAUAUGAUAUAGAGAAGGGUAAAGGAAAUUAUCCAAGUUACACAUAAUAGUUUGCUUAGGAUCCUAAAAAAAAAAAGUAGUUUGCUUACGGAAAACACUAAAUAAAUUUAUAUAAUAUAACAUAAAAUUUGUUGCAACCAAAAUAAAUUAAAACCAUUAACUACGAUCUCUAUAUUUUUAAAUUAGCUUUCUAAAAAAAAUUGGUGUCUAACUAUCUAUCUGCUAUAUAUAAAGUAAACUUGAGUUAUUUGUAGGCUUGAACUAUACCUAUGUGUAAGCUAUUAUAUUUUUUAAUAAAUAAUUGUGUAAGCUAUUUGUUUUUAAGAUUGAGGAAUUAUUGAAAUUAAAAAUGGAUAGAUUGAAUUUCAUUGGAAUAAUCAAUCUAUGAUGGAAAACAAAUUGGCCCUUCUUCCUCAGUAUAUCAAAGAACCUGUUAUAUAUGAGGAUUCAUCAAUCUUUGAGAAGGAAACUCCUUAUGGGUAUUUAAGGAAUAAGAAGUCUAAACUUAAAUUCAUUAGUAGGUCUCUUUGGAGAAAUCCAAUCAAUGUUCUAUUGAGGUAGUGUUGUUCAAAGCUAGGAUGGUGAGACAAUUUACGUGCACGAAAUCAAUUUGGAAAUAUUUCAAGAUUGUUUUUUCAACAUUUUAUUGUCUUUCCCUAUCAUCCAUUGGAGGUAUCUAAUGGUUGGUUCAAUAGAUCGAGAGGCUACUGCAGAGAUUACAGAGGGAGAGGAUCCGUUCACUUUUUUUUCUCACUCUAUCUCUUCAAUCAAAUUGAUGACUCUUAUGUCUUCCAAUCUUUUCUUAUAUUUUGAACACUCAAGAAGUUUUUUUUUUUUUUUUUUUUAUCAGAUUUGUUCUUCUAUUUUGUACUUUAAAUUUUUAACAAUGUUAGUGAUCUUAUUUUUAGAAUUUGAACACUUUGUGGAAUUAUUAUUGUAGGCAACAAAAUUUUAUUUCCUAAAAGGUUAGAUAUUAAGUACUAAUUCUUCAAAUUCUCUAAUUGGUCAAUGAUAUAUAUUUCAUUCACACGUUAUACUUGAGUUCAUUCAUGUAUGAAUUUCUCUAUUUCGUAGUCAAAUCCUUUUCUAGCUUAUGUGGCAACUUUACAAAACUAUACUGCUUUUCUUUUAUAGAGAUAAAAUUCUACUACUAAGAGCAUAAUUAUCGGUGCAAAAACACUGUGGUAUAACUUGGCCAAAUGAAAAUGUGUCAGAAAGCAACUGAUAUUUGACAUGCAAGCAAAUAGCAAAGCUCAAGAGAGUGGUAAUGCAGUACCACCCACUUUUAAGUGACAAAAGAUUACUUUUGAUUAUUUUUAUCAAUUGAUAGGUGAGAUUAUUAAUUAGUAUAAUGUUGGUAUUUAAGGUAUACUGUUAUUGUAAGAUAAAAAAGAACCAUUUUAGAGUUUUAGAGGAGUGGUAUGAAUAUUUAGAAAAUGUAGUUGAGUGGGUUAAAUAAUUGGGAAGUGUAAAGUAAUAUAAUAUAUUAUGUGGAUCCCAUUUAUACCAUCCAUUUGGGUGGCAUGGAUGUGGUUGCUCUGAUAUGUCAUCUCUAUAAAACUCCUUAUUUUUGUUAUCAAUUAUAAACUUUUAUAUUUACUUUAUAAUAAUCAAACAUCUAACGACACAUAAAAAAAUGGAGGGAGUAAUAUUUUUACUAAAAACUAUACAAUGAUAUAUAUGAAAACAUUUGAUUUUUUAUAAAUUGAGUUAUUUCAUUUAAAUAAAAUCAUUUAUUUGACUCAAGUUAGAAUAAAAAUUUUAUAAUAUCAAAUUAUAAUUUAAUAUCGACAAAUUUUUUUUCUUUCUAAAAUCUAAAAUAUGUACAAAUAAAGGAGAAAAGGAAGUUAUAAACUAAACAAGAUAAAAAGAUAUAAUAAUUCAAUUGAUUUCUAACACAAAUGGAUGACCCAUUAUCUAUAUUCAAUAUUCACUUUAUGUGGGAAAAAGUUUAAAAAUAUUUUGAAAGUCGUAUAUUUUAAAUAAAAAAAGUUCAAUAGACCAAUAAAAUUUGUUUUUUUAGAAAGACCAAAAAAAUUUAUUAUUUCCAAUAUAUUAAAGAAAAUAUUAUAAUCAAAACCCGUGCAACGCACGGGUUAUAUAUCUAAUAUAAAUUUAAGACAAACGUAAUACUCAACCAUUUAAAUUGUUUGAGUUUCAUCAUGCAUUUUAAUGCAUGUACGAUUCUCCUGCAAUAAUGAAUAGUAUUAGUGACCAUCUCCUCUGUUCAUAGCGGAUGGUGAGGUCUAGUAGUCCACACUCCACAACAUGCAAGAACCUAUGUCGUGCAACAUUGGUUUAAAUAUUAGAUAGAUUAUUUGUGAGGAUUUCUCCAUAGAUUAACAAUUUUAGGGUACAUGUUUGAAAUGUAACCAUGUUAUAAUGACAAACUUGAGCAAGUAGGCACAAACCCAAAUAAAAUUUAUGUGGCACACACACAAGAUUGAUAAAAUUUAAAAGAGAAAUCAUAUUAAGUGAUGUGACUAAAUUAUUUCUCUUUUAAAUUUUAUCAUUCAAGUGAGUAUGUCUAAAUACUUUUGAUUUGAUUUGGGGUUGUGCCCAACCAACUGUUUCUCGACAAACUUAGCAUGUCAAUACAUGUCAGUUUCUGAAACUCAAACAUUUUGAUUAGGUAAAUACUUCACGGCCAUCUUAAAACACCAUGUAGAGUAUUUUUUUAAAGUAAUAUUUUAUAUUUGGACACCUUUUUUUGAAACACCUAUAAGCAUACAUUCAACACUUCACACCUUUUCUCUUUAUAUCACCCGCUUACCACCAUACCUCUCUCUCUCAAGGUGUUGGAUGGUUUUGCGGGUGGACAUAAAUCAUUUUCUUUUAUUAGCGUCGUUUGGAAUUGUUAUCACUUUAAGAUGAUGGUCAUGCUCUUUUUUCUUUGUCAUACGUUUUUACCUUGUUGUACAAGAAAUUGAGGUAGUUUCUUGACGAGGUCAUUAUCAAAUCUAAGGACUUGCGUAAUAAAUAUUGGCGUGUGCAUCUACGUAGCAAAAGCUUUAUUUGGUGACACAUUUAUUAUUCAAAGGCUUAUGAAUCUUAAGCAUGCUCCCCAAAACAGCUAAAGAUCUGCAGCAGUGAAUGUGUUUUUUCACUACGCCAUUGCCACUGAGAAAGGAACAGCAACCCAACAAAAAAACAGUUUCUUGCGUGUACAUUAAAUUUGGAUAUUAAUAAAUCUCUCAAUACAUUUGCUCCAAUCCAAACCUUAAGUUAACGCCAAACCUUCAAAAAUCUGAUUUUUAUUCCAUUUUUUUGCCAAUGUAACUAAAAAUAAUCACAAGAGGAUAGCAAUUCACAAGAUAACUUAAAAAGUUGCAUACUUAAGCAAAAAAGAGAUCAUGUAUCUAGUUACUCUUCAUCCAGUAAAAUAACUAGGGAAAUCUCCCCCAAACAAGAAAAAUGCAUGACAAAUCCAGAAAAUGUAAAAUAAAUUUGUCAUAGAUAAACUCAAACCAAAUAGUAAUUUACCAUAAUAAAAAAAGAAAGCAAUUUUCCAAAUACAGAUUUUUAUAAGAAUGUUAAAGUUAGUGCACUAACUACAAUCAUACAAGAACCAAGGCUGCUACGGGUAAACAGCAAUUAAGAAAAUAAACUAUGGAUUAACAACUCUAUGCGAAGAUAUAUGAUUCCUGCCUUUCUUGCACCAUAAGUUGAAGAAAUCAUUGUCUAUUUCUUUGCAUAAGUUAUCAACAUAGGGUUUUGUGGGGCUAUCUUGAAACCUUGCAGCGCCUGCAUAGCCACCGUGGAUUGCAUCUCAUCUCCAUAUUCCACAAAGGCAAUUCCUGGCUUUGCUUCAACCAUUCUAACUUCCUUGAAUCCAGGAUAUUGAAGAAACAACAUUUGAAGCAUCAUGGGAGUGGUCUCGUUAGGAAGAUUCUGAAUAAAGAGAAUAUUAUUUGGUGGUGCAGGAGCCUCAGGUAGCAAGGACUUCGCACCGCCUGGAUAAGGUAUCUGGGAUAACUCCAUUAUUAGAAAAAGUGUGUAACAAAUGCAGAAUAAAAUUGUUUGUGCUUCUAUGUAUUAUAGAAUAAUUUGCUUUGAAACAGAUAGUGUCAUCUCAUCUUCAUUAUUUUGAUUCCGGCUUUGAUCAUAAAACUUAACAGUUCGAGAAAAAUUACCAUAAAACAGUUAAAAUUAUGAAGAUGCUAGAUUCAAUGAGACAAAGGUCCAGCACAUUAAGAUGCCUAUAAAAUGACCAUUGACAAAAAUAAACUACAACAGCAGAGAAACUUACAGCAGGAGUUGCACCGUAAGCACCAGCAUAAGCAGGAUUUAGGCCAGUUCCAGCUAAAUUAGCAUCGUUUUGGUCCUUCCUUUUUUUGCCCGCUGAAAAAUGUAAUUGGAUAUGUAAUUUGACUAUGUAUAUUUAUUUAUACAGUACAUAAUACAGAUAUUCAUUAAAAGAGUUGCAUCCAUACUAGACACGAAAAGUCAAAAGUAUAGCGAAAGUCUGUUCUUUGCUGAUGAAGGAAAGCAAAAAAAAAUAUCAUUUAUUGGAUCUUUUCCUUCUUCAUUAUUAAUGCAAAGCCCCUUGGCGACCAAACCAAACAAAAACCCCCACCAACACCAAAAAAGAUAAAACCUAUGAAAUAUAUUGAUUGGCCUUUUGUAGCCAUUAUUGGGCACUCGGUGAGUUGGACCCUCAUUUUGAAGAGAAAACAUGCUUAGUUUAGUUUGUUUAUUUCCAAGAUGAGCUUACACUUAACAGUACAAUAUCCUUUAAAAAAAAAAUAGAGAGCUCAAAGAGUUAUACCUUUGUCAUCGUGCCUCUUUCGUUUUUCCCGAGGAACAAAAGUACCGUCUGCUUUUGCUAUGACAUCAGAUUUAGUCCUGGCAUACUGUAUUCUCUGCAUAGAUUGCAAAAUUGAAUUCAAUUUCUUGCCUGAGAAUAGUUUUAUGGAAAUGAUAUAAACUAACAAACUAUUACAUAUCCGAUGGGGCCAAACAGGCCAAACAAUAAGUUGUCUAUAUCCCACAUUGAGUAGUAUAGAAUGCUCAGUGGUGUACUUGCGUGACCUGGUGCUUCCCCUUUGAUAGAUAGCUUUUAAGGGAGGGUUUCCCAAGUGCUUAGAUACUGAUUAAUUGGUAUCAGAACUGGUCGUCAGUUGCUCGUAAAGAGCUACCGACAGAGGAGCUGAGCGGAAAGGCCGCAUAAAGCGCUGUAGUAUGCCAACCCGUCAGGUUGUCAUCUCUCUCAGGGGUGGUGCUACAAUAGAUUAGAGAUUUGUUAUGGGGUGCCCACGUCCCACAUCAAGUAGUAUGGGAUGUUUGGUGGUGUAACUAAGUUGUUUGGUUCUUCCCCCUUGAAUCUUGAUUGCUAGCUAAGGGAAGGUUCCCUAAGUACUUGAUACUUGUCUAAUUGUAAUAAAAUUAAUUUUUCAUGAUAAAUUCUACUUUUAACUGAUUUAGCUGUAGACCAAAAAAAUCUAUUUAGCAUGGGGAAAAUGGAUAGAUAUUAAAUAAAAAAUUCAUUAAAAUUUUGCUGAAGAUUUGAAAAAUAUAAAACAGGUCUAGCCAGCACGAAAAAUAACACAUAUCACAGGCUAGCAUAUGACCAAUUAAAAUAAAGCUCCAGCAGCACAAAUCAAGCAACGGUUAUUGGAGCACGCACUGAUAGAAAGCAUUUUUUAUAGCUUCAAAACACUCAGAUAGAACUAACUGCAAAUCUCACCAUGUCACACCAUCCAUUAAGAUAGACCAUAAAUCACAUAAUUUUAUUUUUCUGUGCUAAAUAAAUCUACAAUAUAAUUUCAUCCACAGAAUUGUGACAAAGCUAGCUCAAUAGAACCAAUUAGUAGUUGUUCACAACAAAAGUGGACUGUGACUUCAUGCAAAUUUUACUUCCAAUGUCAGAAAUAUAAAUCUUUGAAUCACGACUUUGGGGAGGACCAACCCCCCCCCCCCCCACAAGCAUUUUUUAUAGCUUCAAAACGCUCAGAUAGAACUAACUGCAAAUACCAUACAUCGCAUAAUUUUAUUUUUGUGUGCUAAAUAAAUAUGACCACUGGAACUAAAUCAGUCCUUGGCAUCAGUUUUGCUAUUUCCUAGCGUCCUACACUAUGUCUAAAAUCCAUUAUCCUUCCAAGAAAAACAUCUUCCUAUUCUGUUCAAUGAGGGUAGGGGAGGGACUUGAAGCAUGUCUACAACAACAACAAAAAGCAAACUUUAUCCCGUUGGCUACAUGGAUCAAAUUACGUCAUAAUGUUCUAUCAUAAAACAUAUUUUGAUAACUCGUUAAUCUCUAAAUCUUUCUUAAUAGUUUCUCUUAUAAUUUUUCUAGGUCAUCCUCCACCUCUAGUGAUCUGAUAAAUAGUUUCUCACAUCUAAUAAAGAUGAUUUAUUCCAUAAAUAGCAUAGAACACAAUAGUCACAAUUGCCACAGUGCCACUCAUCACAAGACAAUAUCAAUUGACAUGUUUAAACAGUUCUCUUCUUCCUUCCGCAUUUUCAUUUAGAAAGAUCAACAUAAUAUCUAUAGAAGAGACACGACUGGAUACUAAAUAAGCAUUACACAUUUACACCGAAACAUUCUUUUUUGUUUUCACAAAUCCAAUGGCAUGUUAACUAUUCUAAAUCUCCAAACAAAUUUCAGCUAGAGAAACCUAUGUCAUGUUGAAGAUUGUUAUAUAUUCCAUUCCAUUCCAUGUUUAAUAAUAACUAGCAUUGUCAUAAAUUAGAAUGAAAUUACACCCUAAAAAUUCUAACUAAAAAACUAAUCCUAAUAAAAAAGAAAACACCUUAAAUUAAAUUAAAAAUACGAAGUAAAACACAAUUUCAAAUUUGAAAAGUGAAAUUGAAGAGCAUAUGAUAGUACCAUGGGCUUAUCAUAGAAGGGGAAACCUUGCAUUUACCUAAGAGCAUUAGAAGCAGAAGUAACAUCCUCAAAAAUCACCCAAGCUUGACCCUUAUGUUUCAGAGUCUUGAAAGCCAAAACCUCAAGUAUCUUCCCAAAUUGGCUGAAAACAGCGUGCAAAGAUUUCUUCAACUCUGCAUCAAAAUUGAAGUAUAUAAAUAAAAAGAGUAUAUAAGUGUAUCUAUAUUGAAAAAUUGAUGUUAUGAAAAAAAAGAACGAACCAUCGAUUUUGAUUUUUUCGUUGAGGUUGUUGAUGUAGAUGGUCAUGUUUUGAGGGGGUUCGGGGUUAGCGUUAACUUCAGCCAUGUAUUAGUUGAGAUUUCGAAGAUGAAAGAGAGAGUGAGGUUCUUCACGACGGGGGUAAGGUAAACCCUAUAAGCCACUGCCGGAGAAGCUGACCUGUGUGCGACGAGUGUUUUUUUGUUUGAACUAUUUUGGGCUUUAGGCCAUCUUGUCAUGUGGGUCUAUUAAUAUCAACCCCAAUUCAAUAUAAGCUCGAAGUACAAUUUGAGAAAAUUGUUCUUUAGACACCUAGCAAUUACUCACAACCAUCUUACAAAUCCAAAAAUGCUCUCCACGCUAGUUAACUACCAUUCUAUCUUGAACGGUCAAAAAUUACUGUUCCGGUGUUGCCAUAUACAUAAUGUAUUUUGCUUGGUUUUUCAGUUUUUUUGGGUAUAAUUCCAUCGGAACAAGAGUUAAAUGUCAUUCAUGAGCGAACCGUAAGUUAACUACCGUUCAAUUUCUAUUUUAAAGUGCUUAUGAACGAUUGAUAGGGGCCUAAAGAGUAAUAUUCACAUGUUUAUACAAAUUUUUACUAGUAAUAUAAAGGCAGCAUAAUAACAUUAUGAAAACCUAUGAAUAUUUUUUAAAAAAUCAACACUAAUAUACUAUUUUUAUAAAAUAUUGUUUAUUUUGUAUGUGAAAAAUACUUAAAACGUUUGUGCCAUGUCCAUCUUAGAUUUUAUGUGUUUGUAUCGGAAAGAUUUGCUUUUUAUGUCCCAUUAAUUUGUAUUUGGUACAUAAAGUCGAUACCGUUCAUGUUCGUCUUGUGCAUGAAUUUGGUUAUUAAUAAAUUUCGCCGUUUAAAAAGAAAGUUGAUACAAUAAAAAUUUUAAGGCUAAAAUAUGGUUUUAGUCCCUGCAAAUAUGCCCCAUUUUGGUUUUAGUCCCUGUAAAAAUAAAAUUUUGUUUUUGGUCCCUGCAAAAUUUUUUGAAAUAUUUUACAGGGACCAAAAACUACAAAAUUGGUUCAGUUAUAACGUGCCACGUAUGCAAAUCAUCACAAAAGUGGGGUCAGAGACUAUUUUCUAAAACAAUUUUUUGCAGUGACCAAAAACAAUUUUUUUUUUAUAGGGACUAAAACCAAAACGAGACAUAUUUGCAAGGACUAAAACCAUAUUUUAGCCAAAUUUUAAAAACUCGUGAGUAUUUUCCAAAUACCAACAUUAAUGUGGUAGUUUUUUUGUAAAAUAUUAGCAUUUACACUUUUCUCGUUGUGGAUUUUAAGUGUAUAUAUAUAUAUAUAUAUAUAUAUAUAUAUAUAUGUGUGUGUGUGUGUGUGUGUGUGUGAGAGUAAGAAUUUUUAAAAAAUAAACGAAAAUGUGAGUGAUGAUGUAUUAACAAAUCUUGAAGCAGGUCAAGUAUAAUCUGCGUAUAGUAAAAUCAAGGACUAUUAUAGUUUUUGUCCACUUAUUUUCACUUAUUAACAAAAUUAGUUACUCCAUUUUAAAACAACGUAGUUUGAUCCCUCUAUCAGAUAUACGAUCUAAUGAUGUAGAGUGAUCAACUAUAAAAAAAUUAUAAGAAAACUUAAAAAAAUUCACUAUUUAUUAAGUACAAAAAUUUAAGGAAAGCACCAAACUAUAAUUUUAAAAUGAAAGGACCAAUUUCCUAAACCAAGAUUGUUCAAAUUUAAGAAUUUUCUACCAUGUAAUGUUAAAUGGGUUAUUUCAGACGGUUUAUUAAAAGAAAUAAAAGAAAAUAAGUAUCCAUAGCUAACUAAACUACAUGCACCAAACAAUUUUCCAAAGAUAUUUCUCUCGAAUGGAAUGAAAUGAGUUGGAAGGUUCUCCUCCAAAUGCCUAAUCGACCAAUUAUAGUUGUCCACAUCUAAUAUCUAUACAGUUGUUGUAACAAUGAUGAACAAGUUUCGUGGAAGUAUCUUAGACUAGAGAGAGCCAAGUCAAAAAGCAAGUCCAGAUUCAGCUCACUCACUUGUUAAUUGUGUUAUUCAUUUCAUCCACCGCAAUUAAUUGACUCCACCAUGACUUGUGAUUCACGACCUGGUCUCCCUCCCACAAAGCCACCCCACGCUCCCAGGUCCCACCUUUCACAUAUACUUUUCCACCGUUCCUUCGAUUGUCUUUUUCGCCGCCCUUCCUUCCACUUUAUAUAUUUGGAAACUUCUUUUCCUCAAAAUACUCUUUCUUCCUAAGAAAUAAACAUUAAAACCAAAAUUCCAGAAUAUUCAAUAAAUUAAUAGAAUAAAAUUAUUUAAAAUCAGAUUUGAUUUUUUGUUUGAAUUUCUACUACCACGUGGCAACAAAACAUAGGUUACAUAUUAAUGAUGAUUUAGUUAUAAUCGUGCACCUAAAUUAUCUCCGUAAUUAUGCGUGACGCGUCCUCAAUUUUCUCAACCUUAUAUAAUGCCCCCUACUCACCUAUUCUUCACACAACAAAACUCUUUUCUUUUCUUAGCUAAGGUGGCACAUAGUCCAUAACAAUAGCUUAGCUUAAACUGUGGAAAGCUUAUUCUGUUCAUAACUGCUUAUAUUUUGUUUUUCAAAUCAAACAAAUAAGCUUUCCGUAGUUCAAUAUGGCUCGUUCUUUCGCUAACGCUAAGGUUUUAUCUGCUGUUGUCCUUGAAGGAUUCUCCAACACUCUCACAAGGUACGGUGUUUCUUCAUGUUAUGUUUUUUAACGUUCUUAUGUUUCUUAACCUCAGGGUUCAAACACCUAUUUCUUAACUUUAAAUUUUAAUGUUUUGAAUGAUAUUGUUUUAAUAUAUGGUUUUUUUUUUUUUUAAUCAAUUAAACAGGCGUGGUUACGCGGCGGCAACAGAAAGUGCAACAAGGGUAGUAGGAGGAGUGGUGUCUGUUGGCAACAAGAUGGGACCCACAAAGUCUGGGGAAGAUGGUUCUUCGACUUAUAAGGUUUCAUGGGUUCCAGAUCCUGUCACUGGUUACUACAAGCCUGAGAAUAUUAAGGAUACUGAUGCCGCUGAUUUACGUGCUAAGCUUCUCCGCAAAAAAUUUAACAACUAAUUUCAAUCCAUUCAAGAAAUAGAUUUAUAUUAUGUAUUUUGGGUUUGUUAUUUCAACCGCGGAUCUCAUGAGCUUUUGGGGUCGAUUGUAGAUGGCUUAUUAAAGCCUUGAUUGAUUCUGUUAAUUGUGAAGAUCCUACUCUGUUGGUUUAUUCCUCUGUUUAUUCACUUUGUUAGUGUUUUUGCGAACCAGAAGAAUGAUGAUUAGUUGCUGAUCAUAAGUGUUAUGGUGUCUUCUAGUCUAAUUCAAUGGAAUUUAUUUUAGGUUUUUUCUAGAUUACCUUUGAAGUUUGAAGAAUGGUGGGUAAUUUAUUGGUAGGGUCAAGAUAGUUCAUGGAUACCACUUAAAAAUGUGUUUAUGUGGCUAAUGUGUAUUGGUUGAGGUAAAUUACCUACCAUUCUUCCAUGGGUAUUCUAGUUGUCACCUUUAUUUUAUGAUUAAAUAUGUUUUUAAUCCUUAUAAAUAUACCAAUUUUUCGUUUUAAUCCCUCUAAAAAUUUCCUUCAAUUUUUAGUCCUUAUAAAAUUUUCAAUCAGGUCCCUAUAUUUAAGUUAAUUUUUGUAUUUUUAAAUGAAAUUAUGCAAAAAUGUUAAUAAUAUUGUAAAAAAAAAUUCCCAAAAAAAAACUAGAAUUUUUUAGCAAAACACAAAUUAAAUAUGAAUUUUUAACCUUCAAAAAUAUAAAAAUUCAUAUUAAAUUCAUGUUUAGUUAAAAAAUUCUAAAUUUUUUUGAGAGAGAUUUUUAUAAUAUUAUAAAUUUUUCUGAAAAAUUUCAUUAAAAAAUAUUAAUUUUAUAUAAGAGUUUAUUUAAAAGAGGGGCCAAAAAUGAAGAUGAAAAAAUUUUAAGGAACUAAAAGUUGAAGGAAAAUUUUAGAAGGAUUAAAAUGAAAAGUUGGUAUAUUUAUAAGGACUAAAAACAUAUUUAACCCUUUAUUUUAUUUUUAAUAAUUGGUUUUAGUGUUUGCUCAAAAAAGAAAAGAAAAAGAUAAUAAUAAAAGAAUACUCUCUCCUUCAAAAUAACAGGUUAAGAUCUUAUUCAUUUGCUAAAAAUUAAUGGACAAUGUCAUUAGUCAUUGGUGAGACAACAAAAAGUAUAUAGUGGAUUCUUCAUUCAAAAAAAAAUAAAAAAUAUAGUAGAUUCUAGUAUUAAGUGGACACUACUAUUAAUUACUCCUUCUUUGUGUUUUUUAUCUCACCAAAAUAACACCGUUUGUGCACGAUUAGAUUAUGGAGAAUUGGUUUAGCUACUUAGAUAUUGUACAUGGUAAAAAUCAAAAUUGCUCAUCAAACUACUAAGAUACUCGCUUCUAACAUACACAAUUGGAUCACUAUUAUAAGCAAAAUUUUGUAUUUUAGAUUUAUUCGAUAAAUGAUAUAUGUGACAAUACAUAUAAACAUAUAAAAAGUCAUGGUGAGGUUAACUCAAUUAGUAGUGACAAUAUAAAAAUAACAAUUAAAUCAUCAAUCGACUAUUCAUCGCAUGUACUAUACAUAUAAUUGAUACAAAAACAAUAAUAAAACAUAACAAAUAAAAAAAGUUAAGUUUCGUGACCGAAAAAAAUGUUUAGCAUGGAAUAUUUUUUUGUUUGUUUGAAGGAAGCACAGAAAAAUAAAUUUAAAUAGUAUAAAAUCAUAUUAAAUGGUAAAAGUUAAUAAAACAAAAGAAAUUUAUACUCUUUAAUAAAAAACGAUACGACCCCUCUCAUCGAUAAACUAGUUUAGACAUUAACUUUUUUUUUUUGUAGUGAUUGGAAUUUGAACCUCGGACCUUGCAUAUUUUAUGCAUUGUCCCAACCAACUGAGCUAAGCUCACAAAGACAGUUUAGACAUUAACUAAUUAUUCUAAACAUAAUUAGAAUUUAAUUAAAUAUUCAGUGGAAAGGAUCAAGGUAUAUGUUGUUAUUUAUGCUGAAUAUAAAAAACAAUUUUAAAAAAUAAAAAGUAAAAAAUUGAUAAUUUGAAUAAAAAGUUAAUGUAAAUGAUGAAAGUAAUAUAUAUAUGUAUAUAUAUAUAUAUAUUGUUUUCUUUUUUAGAGAGUAAUAUAUAUACCUUUUGUUUAGAUAGUAAAUUCAGUCCCCGUGAGUGUAACGUCCACUUUCGUUUAAUUAUUUAUUUAAUCGAGUUUAAGCGAUUAUAUUAUAUUUUUAUAAUAUAUGUGUGAGUUUUGUUGAUUAAGAUGAUUCAAGUUGAUUUGGAUAAUUUGAUGUGUUUUGAUAAGAUUAUGAGACUUAUUUUAUUGUUAAAUAAAAUAAAGAUUUGAAAAUAAUAUAAAAUAUUUAGUUGAGGGCUGUUUUGAUAUUUUAUGUAGUUUUGGGGGAGAAAGUGAGAUAAGAUAAGAAAUUAGGAAGAGAUAUAAAUAGGGAAGACCUAAUUGUUAGAAAAACUAUUGUACGUGAAAACUUUUGGAAAAGGGAGAAAAAGCUUAGAAGGGAGAAGAUCAAAGAGAGAGCUGCGAUUUCUUCAUAACCAAGUAAGGGUGAGAAUAAUAACUCAGUAAUGUUAAUUAAUUGUAAUUCUGAUGAUUAGUUAGCAAGCUUUAGGAUUGAAUUGGAGAAAAUGAAAACUAGGUCAAAUCCCUAGAAUUGAUGAUCAAACGGUAAGAAUUGGUUAAAUUGAUAUAGAAAGUGCUCCUAGACCAUAGAUAAUGUUUAGGACGAAUUUUGGAAUCAAUAUUAGGCUUAGAACCAUGUGAAUCGCUGAGUUUUUGUGAAAAUAGCAGGUCUGGACGUAGCGACAAUCAUCGCUAGCCACGGCGAGCUAUGAAUCUCGCCUCGCGAGAGAUGAACAUUCAUCGCUCGCCUCGCGACCCCUUUUCCCUCGCCUCGCGAGUUGCACAAUGCAGCUCGCCAAAGCGAGCAACCUAACUCGCCAUAGCGAGCUAGGGCAGAGAGCAUGUAAGAUUUUGAAAUUUCGACUUUUUAGUUGAACCUUGAGUGCCUUUGAGUGCCUGAACAUACCUAGUAAUGAUUAGGAAUGAAUGUAGGACAAGAUUGAACCUAGAACAACAUUAGUUGGGAAGUUGGCUUGUACUCGCCUCGCGAGCACUUCCAGAUUGGAGUGCUUUGAGUGUUUGUGUGAUCUGUGUCGCACGUUUUGAUCAAGAGUGAACCCCUAAUUGGUAAUGAAACCUAAUGAUGACGUUUAAUGCAAUCUGUAAGGCCGUUUAAGAUAUGUUGUUAUUAAUUGAGUAUGAGUUAAUGUAUUAUGCAUUAUGUAAGAUAUGAAUGAAUAAUUAUGAUGCUAAUGAAUUGCAAUUGAUAUAUUGAUAUCAUCCGUUAUUGUGACUUGACUAUGCUGCUGCUGUUAUUUAACUAAGUGCAUAAUGUCUAUAUAUGAUGAAUAAGAUGACGUUUAGCUCCAAAUUAUUGGAUGCAUAUUGAUAUGAUGAUUACGAUGUUUUGUUGAUAGAGUCCAUGCAUUAGCAUUCAUUGAGCUUAGUCCUCACCAUGAUAGGAGCUUUGUCCUCCGCACGUUUAAAGUAUAUUAAUACUUAUGAUGACGAUUGGUACCACAUGCAUAUAAGGAGUCUAAGAGCAUUGUCGCAUUGUCGUGUCCAAGAUGCUAUGUUGUUGAUGAUGAUUGAAUAUGUGAUUAUGUGAUAAUUGUUUAUCAAAUAUGCAAAGUUGUUUAAGAUUGAUAUGAUGUUAAUUAUGAUUCAAAUUACUUUGAUUAAUAUUAUUUUGUUAUGAAAUCUCACCCCUGCUGCUUGAAAAUGUUGCCCUUCGUAUGGGUAACUUGCAGGUGAUCGUGCUUAGUGUGCAGUUGCCGUCGUGAGUGGCCUUGCCUUCACUGUGUCGUCUAGGUCGCUCUCAUACGUAACGGGAUGGGGCUAUAUGUUAUGCAUGCUUCGUUCUAUUACGUGAAAUAUAUGCUAUUUGUGAUAUUGAACUAACUCUUUGAGAUUAUAUUGAUGGGGCCUGUGUGCCAAAGCGUUUUAUGGAUUAUGAAAUAAUUUCCGCUGCAAUGUUUAAGAUAUUUGGUUAAAUUGUUAUUUAACUGUUUUGGAUUUUUGUUAAAUGUGAUAUCCCGUUUGUUUAUGCUGUUUACUCUGAUAAAUGUUUUAGAAAUUUUUAUGUUGGGAAAACGGGGUGUUACAGUGAGCAUAACUCAGUUAGCAGGGACAUGCAUUAUUAUAUGCAAGGGUCGGGGUUCGAACCCGAACACCCCACUUAUUCACCUUGAAAAAGGUGAAUUCUAACCACUAGGUUACUUGACAAAAAAAAUGGUAAAUUCAAGUCCUCGUGAGCUUAGCGCAGUUUGUAAGGACAACGUAUAAUAUAUGCAAGGUAUGAGGUUCAAACCUCGGCCACCACUGAAGAAAAUAAUAGUAAAUUCAAGGAGAGAGCUCAAUUAAGUCUCUCACCAAUAGAGUAGAAAAAAUAUACCGUUAAAUUUAAUUAAUGAUCGAGAUUCAUUAAAAUCAAAAGUAAAAACAUUUACAUAUCAUCACACACAAAUUUUCUUUUAUCAUCGUCACCAAGAACAAGAACACACAAGUGUAAAUUAUGCAUCAGAAACAUCAUGAUCACCAAUAGGGUUGGGAAUAGGCCAUGCCGAUCUACAAGGGUCUACGACCUGACCUGUUUUGGCCUGGCCUGUCCUGUUUAGUAGACAAGCCUAGGCUUAGGCUUUUUAGAAAGCAUGUUUAGUUAAAUAGGCCAGGCCAAGGCUUCGAGAAAAGCCUGUUAAGCCUAAUAGGCCGACCUAUUAAUACCUAAUUAUUAAUUAAUGUUUUUUUUAUAUCAAAAUAAUUGCAUACAUUAAAAAUAUAAACAUUUUUUCUCUAUCUAUGAGACCCUUAAUAGGCUUUGUUGUUAUAUGCUUUUAAGUAUGUUUUAAGGCUUGUUUAGUCUAUUUAGUAGGUCAAAUGACUAUUUGAUGACCUUAAUGAAAAGUAGGCCUGGAAGUAGGCUUUCAGGGCAGUCCAGACUUUUAAAUAGAUCAGGUCAAACCAAGAAAAACGGUCUAUGAUAGGCCAUAGACUAGGCUUAGGCCUGUAAUUUUUUUUGUAUACCAAGGUCAGGCCUAUCAAAAUCUGGCCUGGCCUAUUCGCACCCCUAAUCACCAAUUUGGCUAACAUUCAUCAUCAUCAUCUAUAGGAGUUGGAAGAUUUUUAGAUCCAAACUUCACAAAAUUUCAAACUUUACAAAAAUAAAAUUUGAAAGAAAAUAUUUUUAUCCAUAGAUGUAACCGUAACCGUCAUCCAAUAUUAGUAUGUUCUUGUACGUUCACCAAGUGUUUCCCCGAUGAAAAUUCUUCGAAACAAACGGGACUUAUAAAUUUUAUUUUCAAUAACAUGAGAACAAAAACCUUGAUCAUCAUUAAUAGGUAUAGAUAAUAGAUAUUUUGCACUGCACUUUCAUAUUAUAACAAAAUAUAUUUAUCCUUUCAAUGAAACUAACAAUAUAACAAAUAUAUAUAAUAUCUUUAAAAAAAUAUAAUAUAAAUUCUUAUAUUUUUUAAUGACACCAACAAAGUAACAUUUUUGUCUUCGUAAGCUUAGUUCAGUUGGCAUGGACAAUGUAUAAUAUAUACAAGGUCCGGGGUUCGAACCCUGCCCAUCACAAAAAAAACGCUUAAGGGUAUAACUGGAUAAAAAAAAAUCAGCUGAAAAGAGUUUUUUUAUUUUUUUAUGUAUAGCACUAAUUCUUAAAUGUCUCAUGUUCCGAAGGAUGAAUAACCAUUAUAUGGGAAUCUAAUUUAAUUCUUUUUGUGAAUUGUUCUCUCUUUUUGUGAAUUACCGAAGUAUGUUUUUGUGAAUUGUUCUCUCUUUUUGUGAAUUACCGAAGUAUGUUUUUGUGAAUUGUUCUCUCAAGUACAAGUUUGUGUAUGAGAAUGUGUAAAUGAUCUUACCUUAAUUUUUAAUGAAUCUAAAACAUUGAUUAAAUCUAACGGUUUAUUUUUUCUGCGCCCCCAUCGAAGAUGAAUUUAACGGAGCCCUCACCUUUGAAUUCAUCCUAAAUUUUUGCAAAAUUAAAAAAAUAGUUUUGAAAAAGAAUUUAAUCAUUUUUGAAAAAAAUAAUAUAAUUAUUUUACACAUGCAUCUAAUAACAUGUGUUGUCACGCUAAUUAAUGAAUAUAAAAACACAUGAGUUGUUGUAUUCAUUAAUUAAUGUGACAUCAUAUUAUUGAAUGCAUGUAUCUAAUAAAUAACCGUAGACGCUUGGUGUAUAAUUUUUUGGUAGUGAAAAAAAAAAAAAGCUUAUAUGGUGCAGUCAGGAAACUAACUUUUUUGGAAAGGUUAAUUAUGAUCUUAAUGUUUCAUUCAUUUUUAAAUUGUUGAUUACUGAUUAAUGGUCAAUAUUAAUUCAUCUAGUAAUGCUUGCAACAUCUUGGACUUACAGAUAAUAUUUUAUCGUUGGCAUCUUUAACAUGCAAACAAAGUUGAUGAUAUUAUGUGAUAGUUGUCGCAUCAUUUUUCGGAGAUCAAUGUAUUUGAUUAGCUUUUGACUCACUAAUUAUUUCACGACUGAACAUUUAAUUUUUAAGAAAAAGGGGAAAAAGUUCAAAACCUCAUAUUGAGAGAUUUAGGGUUUGGGGGUUGGUUAUAUUUAGGGAAGGUAUUAGCACCCUAAAUAUUCGUAGUAGUCUACGAGAACCACCUCUUGAUUUUAUUUAUUUUUCGUGCUUUAAUUUGCUUGCUUUUGAAAAAGAAGUUAAUGUGAUGAUUAAAAGAAAAAGAAAGUGAGACCUAAUUUAUCUACAUUUUUUAUGAUUUGGAAGGACGAUUGUCCUCUGCCUACGUACCUGUGAUAGAUCAAAACCUCGUAGUUUGGGGUAGAAAUUGACGUUUGAAAAAAAUUUAAAGAAAAAAGCCAAGUGGCAAAAAGAUUUUUUUUGUGUUUUUUAUAUUGAAAGAAAAAUGACUCAAAGUAGAAUUAAAAUUGAUUUGAAAUUUGAUUAUGAAAGAAAAUAAAAAGAACGAUCACUUGAUUGAAAAUCAAGGUUUAUUAUGAAAAAUAUUUUUUGUGAUUUUGAUUAUUUGCAUGUUUUUGUACUUAUUGGAAUAUUAAAUGAAAAUUAAACUAAGAGAGCAAUAAAAAUAAAAGCGCGUGAAUUUUUAUAGUGACGUUGGAUCACCACAAAAUCCCUAAUCUAAUUUUUUUGCAUUUUUGGAUAUAUAUAUAUAUAUAAAAGGUGGUAAAGAAAUAAAAGGACACGCACACCCAUACACUUUUCUCAUUUAUAUUUAGGAUUAAUGGUGCUUUACCCCCCUGUAAUAUAGGUCAUUUUUGGUUUCCCCCCUGUAAAAUAUUUUUUUCAUUUACCCCCUGUAAAAUAUUUUGUUUUUUGGAAUACCCCCCUAAUAGGUCAUAAAAAAACGAAAAAAUUCUGCAAAAAAAAUAAAUAAAGUCGUUUUUUUAUGACCUAUUAGGGGGGGUAUUCCAAAAAACACUAUUUUACAGGGGGUAAAUAAAAAAAAAAAAUUAAAGGGGGGAAAACAAAAAAUGACCUAUAUUACAGGGGGUAAAGCACCAUUAACCCUUAUAUUUGCAUUGGACCUAAAUACAUUCUAAUUGCUGGAAAAUAAAUAACAAUAAUUAAAAUGCUAAAUAGAAAUAAAAUAAAAUGCAAAAAUGCUAAAAAGAAAUAAAAUGCAAGAAAAUAAAAGAAAUGGACAACCGAAGGGACAAAAAUUAUCGAAGGGACAAAAAAAAAAAGAGGGAGAAGAAAAGAAUAGCUCGUCAACACAAUCUAGAUAGGGAGAAGAGAGAAAAAUUCUUUGACAACUCAAGAGAACUUUUGGUGUGUGUAAAAUUGUGUGGAAUGAGGGCUCUAUUUAUAGGCGAGGAGGUUGAUGAAAAUGGAAAAUUGGUUUAAUGGAAAUGAAGGACAAUUAUGGUGAAUUUUGAAAAAGGAAUGUUAAAGUUGACACUUGACUUGAAUUUUUUUUAGACCUUUGACAUUUUAUUUUUGGAUCUAUUGACACUUUAUUUUUUUUGGACACUAAUUAAUUAAAAAGAAAUAAAAUAAAUCUAAUACGAAAUAAAAUAAAAACAAAUUAAAAUAAAUUAUGUAAAGUAAAAUAAAAUUAAAAAAUGGAAAAUAAAAGGUAAGAUAAAACUAAAAGACUAAUAAAAAAUAAAAAAAAUAAAAAAGUGAGAAGAAAGGUCAGAAUUGGUACAAAGAUGAGGGAUUUUAAAAUACCUUACUGCCGAAUUUUUCUCUAAAAAGCCAUAGAAUAUUAUGGGUCAGAGGGUGUAUGAAUGUAGGUUCUUAGGUCAAAAAUUGGGGUAUGACAAUAGUAAGUGUUACACUUUGUGGGGUGUUACACUUAAAACAAGGUAUGAUAAAAUUAGAUUAAGUGUAGCCUUGUUAAUUUGAUGAAUUGAAGAUACUAUGGAGACCGAACUUUUGAUUUCAGUGUACAAACAUUGGGGUGUUACUCACUAUAUUUUUGAUGUUAUAGUGUUAACUUCAUUAAAAAAAGUCAUUUUCAUGACUUUACCAUAGAAUUUUUCAAAAAAAUUAUACACCAAACGUGUACGGUUAAACCCUUUGAAAAUUAGAAAAAUAAUGAGAAUUGGAAAGAAAAAAAACAUUAAAUUAUUGAAAUAAAAAAUAAUCAUAAAAUUAAAUUAAAUAUACAUAGUUUGUUAAAAUAUAUAUGUCACAUAAAAAUGAGUUAUGAAAAUUAGAAAUAAAUAAAAAAAUUAAAUAAAAUAUUUAUUAGAUAAGAUCAAAGUAAUUUGUAGUUUGUUGAGAUAUUUAUGUAAAAUAAGAAGAUCAGUUUUGAAAAUAGAAAGUUAGUAAAAAUUUAUAAAAUAAUUAUAAUUAGGGUUAAUAGGUCUUUACCCUCCUGUAAUAUAGGUUAUUUCCGAUUUUUCCCUUUGAUUCACCCUGUAAAAUAUUUUUGAUUUACCCCCUAAUAGGUCAAACAAAAACGAAAAUUUAAUAAAAUUGGUUUUUGUUUGGCCUAUUAGGGGUAAAUCAAAACAAAAAUAUUUUAGAGGGGUGAAUCAAAAUAAAAAUUUUACAAAGGAAAAACCAUAAAUGACCUAUAUUACAGGGGUAAAGACCUAUUAACCUUUAUAAUUAUACGAAAUAUUUAGUAGAUACGAGAAAAAUAUAGUUUGUUACGAUUUAUUGAGAUAUUUAUGUCAUAUAAAUAUGAAAGUUACUUAUAUAUAUUUUAUCGACACUAUUGAUUGAUUCAUUCAUAUUCUCAUAUCAAAAUUAAGCUUUCCAUCGUUCAAUACAUCUUUUUUUCACUAACAAUUCAGAUUCAAACCACUAAUGGCUCGUUCUUUCGCCAACGCUAAGGUUCUCUCUGCUAUCAUCCUUGACGGUUUUUCCAACACUUUUACAAGGUACCAUACCGUUUCUUAUUGCUAUUAUUUUUAACUGUUUUUUGUUUCAUUAAGAAAAAUUUAGGGUUAUACGAUUGGACCCCAAUAUUAGGUCAUACUUAAAAAGCACUUACAAAUAUAUUUAUGAAUUAUUGUUAUAAUUAAAUAGGCGUGGUUACGCUGCGGCUACAGAAAGUACAACGAGGGGAGGAGUGGUGUCUGCCGGAAACAAGACGGGAGCCACGAAGUCAAGGGAAGAAGGUGUUUCUGCUUAUAAGGUUUCAUGGGUUCCAGAUCCAGUCACUGGUUACUAUAGGCCUGAGAACAUUAAGGAUAUUGAUGCUGCUGAAUUACGUGCUAAGCUUCCCCCCAAAAAAUUCAACAACUAAUCUCAACUGGUUCAAGAAGUAUAUUGAUUUUUAUUAGAUAAAUUUUGUUACAUAUAUUCUGGUAUAGUAGUUAUUUCAACGGUGACUCUCAUGAAGUUUUGGGAUCGAUUUUACAUAGUUCAAUGCAAUAUAUUUGUUUUACACAUUAAGCUAUAUUAUAUUUUAUCUUAUAAGUAUAAUCAUUAAGCACAAGAACAUUAACAACAGUUUGGUUAUCACUUUUGAAAUCAACCCGAAUGAAUCGUCAUCUAUAGCUUUUUGAAUUUUGAAUUGAGAGAUGAUAAACACCUCGUAUGCGCUUCGACAAAGUGACCUAAGCUAUCGUGAAAACAAAUGCCUCCAAAACAACCUUCGGAUGCAAAGAGAGCACAAUCCACAUCAUGUUUCAACCAACUAGGAAACUAACUUAUACUGUUGCGUGCGGGCUAAGAAACAAUUUGUUGCAUCCAUGAACAUCACUGAUGCUGAAUACCAAAGUAUAACCUUAGUCACCUCAGAAUUGUUGUGGCUACUAUCCCUCCUCCUCACUAAGCUCAAUGUUCCCUGCUCCACUAUCAUUAUGUUGUGGGACGACCGACGACACGAGUGUCAUUGCAUUAGCCCAUAAUCUUGUUUUGCAUGCAUGCACUGCACUAAUCAUAUAAAACUGGAUUUGUUUUUUGUCCGACAGAAAGUCUUGCAGGGGUUCAAGGUAGUUCAUAUUCCUGGUCAUAUGUGAAACAAUCAAUUUUUAUCUAUUUCAUUUUAGUUCUUGAGGAUCAAUUAUGCUAUUUAUUAGGUUUAGAUGAUUAGACAUCAAUACUAGGAUACGAAACCACUCUUCGAUUAUGCUCCAAGAUACACUACCAGUUUGGAGGCCAUUAAUAUUAAUUCAACUCUUCCUACACAAUUAAGUUCAGUUACAUGAGCCAAAUAAUGAGUGUCACACAAUCUCUGAGUGUCAGACCUAAAAGAAAUAGACACGCUUAUUGACCGAGUAACCAACAUAUUUAGUACCGAACACUAACAACACUCAUCUUUUUUGUUGUGUUAGGAAACAAAACAAAAAAGAAAACUUCAAAAGAUGCUUAGGUGUGUUUGUUUUAGCUUUAAAGAAAAUAGAUUUUGUGUUAGAAAAAUUUAGAGAUUUUGAAAAAAAAAAUCUGAAGUUAUUUGUGUUUGUUUACUAUCCAAAAAACCACUUUUAAAAAAAAGAUGUUUAACUAGUUCAUAUCUUAUCUCCUUAUGUUUGAAAAAAAUAGAUUUUGAGAAAAGUUAAUCCAAAUAGCUUUUUAUUUUAGAGUCAAAAUAGAUUAUUUUAGAAAAAUGAUUUUUCUAAAAAUCCUAAACUAACACUUAAAAUGACAAAAAAAAAAAAUUACUAAAAAAUCUAAAACAACGUGUUAUUAAAUAGUGAAUAAUUAAGGAAGCAAUUGGUUUUUAACACAAUAAAGAAACAUCAUGAAGCAUUGCAUCUUCCCCCUCUUUGUAUGCUUCUGGGGGAUUCAAUAACUAAAAUUAAAUAAAAACGAAAGGUGAAAGAAGCUCAAAUGCAAAUGGGAAACAAUUCCCCACUUUAUUGGCCACCAAUAUUACAUACACACGUAUCGUAUAAAAGGAAGCGUGCGUGGCAAGUAAGAUUGACAUGAAGGCAAAUGCUAAAGAAUUUGGUCGUUUUCAACUUGAUGAUAGAUUCCGGAACUUGGACAAUACAAAAUACAAAUUAAUAAAAUAAGUACUAUUCGAUAUAAAAUACUAGUAGUAUUCACCCUCCGGUCAUAAAUAUAAACAAAAAUUCAUGUUUUAGAUUCAUUCAAUGAAUGAUGUAUGUAGACUUUAUUGUAGACAACAUACAUAAUUAAUUGAAUGAAUCUAAAAUAUAAAUUUUUGUUUAUAUUUAUGAUCGGAGAGUGUAUAUAAUAAUAUAAUAUGCUAAUCUAGACAUAUGGCAAUGUCAGGCAUAACUUGCACCUAUGGUCAUACUAAUCUUUACCUAAGUCACCCAAGCAAGAAACAAACUUGAUUUUAAUAGUCUGGUGGGUUUCUAUUUUCUAACCCAUGCAUGUCAAUAAAGUUUUAGAGUGAUGAUACAUGUACCACCUCAUGUGGCAAUACACCUUUUACAUCCACACAAAUUUCUGACACGUGGCAACUUGGACCCCACACAAAUAGAAGAUAAAGUGUGGUUGUGAGAUGAACUUAUCAAAAUAUCCCUAAUACAUGGGGUGUACAAUAGGGUGUAGAAAUAAAUGAUGUUCAUGUAACAUUUUUCAAAGCUUUAUUUGCUGCCCAAACAAUCAACAAUGUGUCAACUAGCACUAUUUUGUUUUUAACUCCAAAUGGAGAGUGAAAGAAUAACAUGCUGAGAAAUUUGGUACCCUCAUUCUUAUUGGUUCAACUUUUUUGGGGAUUAUUGGUUCAACAUGAAAUUAGUGCGUGUGUAAUUAACAUUGUAAUCGACCAAAUCAAGGUAAUAUCAUGAUUUUGUUGAACUUAUAAAGUGUAUAUUUUGUCAAAAAUCAUGGUGAAUUUUAUCGAACUCGCCACAAUCCAAAUCACUUACCCAAUUUAUUUUCAUAGGAUAAUUUUGUUGUGUUUUUAGUGCUUUUAAAAAAUUCCAAAAAUUACAAGUUCCACACACGAUUUUUGUGAGCUUUUAAGUCUUUAUAUAUUAAUUUGUGAUAUUAUAUUUUAGGCUUAAUUGAUCUGCCGGUCCCUUAACUUAUUUCUUUUAUUCAAUUUGGUUCCAUAAGUCUUAACAUUCUCAAACACGUCCCUUAACUUAUUUAUUUUCUUCAAUUUGGUCCAAUUUUGAUAAUUUUAAUCCCCUAAAAAAAGAGAUUGUUGGAUUACGGAGGUCUAUCAGAUUUUAUAGUCUAUCACCAACACCUAAUUUAUUUACUUUCUUCUUCUUCUUCUUCCUGCAUUCAUCCUUCAUCAAUAAAACCCAGUGUCGCGUCAUUUUUCGGAGAUCAAGGCUAUUUGAUUAGCUUUUUGACUCACUAAUUUAUUUCAAGACUGGACAUUUAAUUUUUAAGAAAAAGGGGAAAAAGUUCAAAACACCCCAUAUUGAGAGAUUUAGGGUUCGGGGGUUGGUUAUAUUUAGAGAAGGUAUUAGCACCCUAAAUAUUCGUAGUACUCUACGAGAACCUCUUGAUUUUAUUUAAUUAAUGUGCUAUAACUUGCUUAUUAUUUUUUAAAAGAAGGAAUUAAAGUGAUAAAAAUAAAGACCUAAUUAUCUNNNNNNNNNNNNNNNNNNNNNNNNNNNNNNNNNNNNNNNNNNNNNNNNNNNNNNNNNNNNNNNNNNNNNNNNNNNNNNNNNNNNNNNNNNNNNNNNNNNNNNNNNNNNNNNNNNNNNNNNNNNNNNNNNNNNNNNNNNNNNNNNNNNNNNNNNNNNNNNNNNNNNNNNNNNNNNNNNNNNNNNNNNNNNNNNNNNNNNNNNNNNNNNNNNNNNNNNNNNNNNNNNNNNNNNNNNNNNNNNNNNNNNNNNNNNNNNNNNNNNNNNNNNNNNNNNNNNNNNNNNNNNNNNNNNNNNNNNNNNNNNNNNNNNNNNNNNNNNNNNNNNNNNNNNNNNNNNNNNNNNNNNNNNNNNNNNNNNNNNNNNNNNNNNNNNNNNNNNNNNNNNNNNNNNNNNNNNNNNNNNNNNNNNNNNNNNNNNNNNNNNNNNNNNNNNNNNNNNNNNNNNNNNNNNNNNNNNNNNNNNNNNNNNNNNNNNNNNNNNNNNNNNNNNNNNNNNNNNNNNNNNNNNNNNNNNNNNNNNNNNNNNNNNNNNNNNNNNNNNNNNNNNNNNNNNNNNNNNNNNNNNNNNNNNNNNNNNNNNNNNNNNNNNNNNNNNNNNNNNNNNNNNNNNNNNNNNNNNNNNNNNNNNNNNNNNNNNNNNNNNNNNNNNNNNNNNNNNNNNNNNNNNNNNNNNNNNNNNNNNNNNNNNNNNNNNNNNNNNNNNNNNNNNNNNNNNNNNNNNNNNNNNNNNNNNNNNNNNNNNNNNNNNNNNNNNNNNNNNNNNNNNNNNNNNNNNNNNNNNNNNNNNNNNNNNNNNNNNNNNNNNNNNNNNNNNNNNNNNNNNNNNNNNNNNNNNNNNNNNNNNNNNNNNNNNNNNNNNNNNNNNNNNNNNNNNNNNNNNNNNNNNNNNNNNNNNNNNNNNNNNNNNNNNNNNNNNNNNNNNNNNNNNNNNNNNNNNNNNNNNNNNNNNNNNNNNNNNNNNNNNNNNNNNNNNNNNNNNNNNNNNNNNNNNNNNNNNNNNNNNUUUUUUUUGGACACUAAUUAAUUAAAAAGAAAUAAAAUAAAUCUAAUACGAAAUAAAAUAAAAACAAAUUAAACUAAAUUAUGUAAAGAAAAAUAAAAUUAAAAGAUGAAAAAUAAAAAUUAUUAAAUAUAAAAAUAGUAACUAAUCUUAAAAUUAAAAUUAAUAAAAGAUGGAAAGAAAAUAAAAAGAGAAAAGAGGGCCCGAAAAUUGGGGUAUGACACCCAAGAAUUUUUUUUUUAACCUACAGCAGGUAGGUUAAAUAUCCAAACAGCAACACACAAAAAAAAAAACCUGCACCAGCAAACAGCCAGCGACCAAAAACAGGUGUCAGAUGAACAAAAUCUUCCUCUUCAUAAACAGCCUUGAGAUCUACAACAUUUGGGUGCCCAGAUAACUAUUGACAAAGAAAAAUGAAGGUUGAAUGAUGAAGAUUGGGUUUGUAAAAAA
RNAcentral lists this long non-coding RNA (41793 nucleotides) under Medicago truncatula (barrel medic). Its description in RNAcentral is "long non-coding RNA (MTRU_LNC005664)". Lineage: Eukaryota; Viridiplantae; Streptophyta; Magnoliopsida; Fabales; Fabaceae. The record is from RNAcentral.